UCUGUUGGAACCCGGAAUCUUGAAGCUGGAAUCUCCUUAAGAAGGGUAAAAUAAGGUUUUUAUUAAAUGAAUUUGAAAAUUUUAAGGUUUUGAGUUAAAAAGAAAGAAAAUAGUUUUGAAGGAAACCCCAGGUUCGGCCGCCAAAUCUUCAAGUUCAGCCACCGAAGGUGGUGCGACCGCGGGACCUCCCAUUUCGGCCCCGAAGGUGGUUUGUCCAGCCACC
RNAcentral lists this long non-coding RNA (223 nucleotides) under Manihot esculenta (cassava). Its description in RNAcentral is "long non-coding RNA (MESC_LNC005537)". Lineage: Eukaryota; Viridiplantae; Streptophyta; Magnoliopsida; Malpighiales; Euphorbiaceae. The record is from RNAcentral.